This is an unclassified non-coding RNA of Cricetulus griseus (Chinese hamster), 286 nucleotides long. Its record names the gene 7SK. It matches the Rfam family "7SK RNA". Rfam says of the family: 7SK was discovered as an abundant small nuclear RNA in the mid-70s but a possible function has only recently been suggested. Lineage: Eukaryota; Metazoa; Chordata; Mammalia; Rodentia; Cricetidae. The record is from Ensembl.
GGAUGUGAGGUCAAUCUGGCUGUGGCAUAUGCCGUCUCAUGAAUUGCCAGGGUUAAUUUGGCUGACCUAGCUAGCUAGACUGGUGUCCUCUCUCUCCCUUACCAUACUUUGUGCAUCCCUCCUGAGGCUGCAUGCUCAGUCAAAGAGAACAACCUUCCCCCAACUAGAGAAAGACCCGUCUUCAGUCAAUAAUAUACUAGUUCCCCUAACAGAACUUCAAACAAGCUUUCAAGGGACUACUUAAGUGGGACCAGUAAGAAUGAAAGAACUUCAGUACAUGGUAACU